Long non-coding RNA from Monodelphis domestica (gray short-tailed opossum), 2083 nucleotides. Lineage: Eukaryota; Metazoa; Chordata; Mammalia; Didelphimorphia; Didelphidae. The record is from Ensembl.
GAAUUCACUGAAGAACUGAGCAGAAAGCAGCAAGAGGUAGAGGCAGCCAUGAGAAGUUGCAAGAGGAGGCUGGAGCCAUCACCACCAGUACCCCCACAACCUCCACCAAGUGAGAACCCUCCCCCUGACAUGACUUCUUGAGUGACUCUCAUCUGGCUAGUGGCACCAAUACCCUUCUACUUUGACAAUGGCACCAAUACUCUUCUACCUUGACAAUGGCACUACUACCCACCUACCUUGCCAGUGGCACCAAUACCCUUCUACCUUGACAGUGGCACCAAUACCCUCCUACCUUGCCAGUGGCACCAAUACUCUCCUACCUUGCCAGUGGCACCAAUACCCUUCUACCUUGACAGUGGCACCAAUACCCUCCUACCUUGCCAGUGGCACCAAUACCCUCCUACCUUGACAGUGGCACCAAUACCCUCCUACCUUGCCAGUGGCACCAAUACCCUCCUACCUUGCCAGUGGCACCAAUACCCUUCUACCUUGACAGUGGCACCAAUACCCUCCUACCUUGCCAGUGGCACCAAUACCCUCCUACCUUGCCAGUGGCACCAAUACCCUUCUACCUUGACAGUGGCACCAAUACCCUCCUACCUUGCCAGUGGCACCAAUACCCUCCUACCUUGCUAGUGGCACCAAUACCCUUCUACCCUGAAACCUACCACUCUUCUCUGAGUGUCUAACUACUGCCAUGUCCCUUUCUGACUUAGAGUCCUCAUGAACAGAGCCUAUAAAUUAAGGUGGGAGUUUUUCCCUGGGGAACUGCCUCUUUUCUGAAGGUUUCUUAUACCUUUCAUCCCACUCUGUAUGGGGAAAAGGGGCUUACUUAGGCAGACUGAGGGCUCACUCUACCCCCACUGCCCUGCUGGUUCCCAGUAUGAUAACAUCUCCUUUCCCUCCAUCUCCUCACCACCUUCGCCCCAGGGAGGAGAGGUACAGGAAAGGCCCCACCAGGCCCCCUGGUACCACUCCUGGAGCUACAGCCUCGGAGCCCCCUGGGAGCCCGACUCCUUCAACGCUGGCAGCAACUAUGGCUCAAGGCCCUGGACAGACAGUACCGGCUACAGGCUGCUACCCAGCACCUGGAGGAGCAAGCAGCCUUUGCCCACUUUGACUUUGGUGGAUGGAGGAAACGCUACUUGCAGUGGAUCAGCCAUAGGAAGUCCCGGCUCCUGGAUGUGUUCCGUGCCAUUGACCGUGACCAGGAUGGACGAAUCACCCACCAGGAGUUCAUCGACAGCGUCCUUGCCUCCAGUGAGAAGGACCCUUAGGGAGUUGGGGGAAGGAGGGAUGGUCAAGGCAAGAGGGGGAUGGUAGGAAGGGGUGGGGAAAAGAAGGGCCAGGUCAAAAUAGUACAGACAAUUUUGCUUCAUCUUCUUACUUGUCUUAAUCAGUCAUUAACAAGCUUUUACUGGAACUUUUCCACACCCCUUGACCUUACCCAACCAUGGGGCCCAGCCCAGAAUCUCAGAGUUGAAAGUUAUACAUCUGACCAAGAAUCUCUCUACAACAGAAAUAACCACAAGUAACCAUUCAGCCUCUGUUUGGAGACUUCUAGUGAAGAGUAUUUCUCAAAGCAGCCCCUCCUGCUUUGGGAUAACUCUAAUUCUCAUGGUACUAAUUCAUGACAUCAGGCCUAAAUAUGCUUUUUCCACUCCUAUGACUCCACCCAUUACUCCCUAGUCCUACCUUCUGGGGCCAGACUGAGUUAGUUUAAUACCUUUACUACAUGAGAGCCCUUCAAAGAGUUGAACACCACCUGUGAUUCCUUCUCCCCUCCCUGCCCUACAGCUUCUCUUGAACAGGCCAAACAUCCAUAGUUUCUAGAACUGAUCCUUAUAUAGCAUGAUCUCCUGGCCAGAGUGGCCUUCACCAUCCUAAUGCCCUCAUUGGUUUUUCAAUGUCUUUCCUAUGCCACUCAUUUUGUGACUUUGGACAUAACCUAUUUGAGUCUCUGUUUUUUCAUCUAUAAAGUGAUGAGAAUGAUGAAUUUGUACUAUAUGACCUCUGGGGAUUCUUCUAGCCCAUGAAUGGAUCUAGAACCAAAUAUAUAGCACCCUUCCGGAUAUGGCAGGAC